GGCAAUUUACCUAGAUCCAAAGAAACAAUAACUACCAAAACUUAUAGCACAGCAACCUCGACCUCUGAAGAAGAGAGCUAUAAAUAUUUACAUCUGGCGUCAGUUGCACAUCACAAUAUGCUGCCUUCUUUUCAUGGGACAACAGAGACCAGAGAAGAAUCACCAUCUUUCUGGAAUAAACCAGUAAAAUUUCACCAUCUCUGGGGGCAAAACCAGGAGCUUCACCAAUCUUGAUCAAGUUGCUUGCAUCAACUCCAUGAAACUCUAAUCUGAAACAGCAACCUCAACGGCCAGACCUCCCAAGUUAACGCAAAGAUACAACACAGCCUCAACACCCCCACCAAUAAGGCCAACAGCAAAAUAUGUAGUGUAGUACAAUGACAGCACAACUCUCAAAUAUGGAGUGCUGAAUGAGUGGGGAGCUCCAGAAUCCUGAAGUACAAUCUAUCCUCUCUCAGAUUGGAGGACAACAUCUUCCUUACACCAAUUGACAGAGACAAUGCUCAAAUCCGAACCCAACACAACAGCAAAUACCAAUAUCUUCUAAAAUCCACGUGCCGAUUUCAUCCAGUGCAUAAGAAAUCAAUCACCAGUUAUUGCAGAUCACGUCCAACCACGAGGAACUAGUCUAGUAGAUUCCUUGACAUCGCGAAAGAAGAAGACCAUCGAUCCACAAAACCCGACUGUAGAUUUGAAAUUAUGCCUACAGCCACCGCCAAAGUCUAGACGAUACAAGGGUCAUCGCCAAGUCGCGGAGAACAGCCCAUUUCAUCUGCAAGAACAUAGAAAAAGAAAAUAACAGGAUAAGCAACUAAAGAUUCAUCAAAACACAAUAACACAGUAAAGUGAUGUGAUCGGAGGGCGGCAACGAAGCGAGAAACGGGCGGCAGCGACUGGCGGGGCUGACUGCGGGCGGCGAUAGGACGGUGAUCUGACGGCGGGGAUGAUCUGACGGUAGACGGCAGGGGAUGAUCUGGCAGGCGGACGGCGGGGGACGAUCGGACAGCAGGCGAGAAACGAUCGGACGGAAGGACCGGAGAAUCAGACGGCGGCGGAUGAACGGACGGGAGGCGGACGGCGGCG
This 1083-nucleotide unclassified non-coding RNA is filed under the name Hevea brasiliensis (rubber tree). The record is from RNAcentral. Lineage: Eukaryota; Viridiplantae; Streptophyta; Magnoliopsida; Malpighiales; Euphorbiaceae.